GACAGAGGUGCCGAGCGUUAGGCGGAAUCACUGGGCUUAAAGCGUGUGUAGGCGGACUUCUAAGUACCUUGUGAAAUCCCACGGCUCAACCGUGGAACUGCUCGGUAUACUGGUCGUCUUGAGCCACCUAGGGGCGAGCGGAACAAGCGGUGGAGCGGUGAAAUGCGUAGAUAUCCAGCGGAACUCCGGUGGCGAAGGCGGCUCGCUGGGCCCUCUCUGACGCUGAGGCGCGAAAGCCAGGGGAGCGAACGGG
This 253-nucleotide ribosomal RNA is filed under the name uncultured bacterium. RNAcentral's name for it is "partial 16S ribosomal RNA". It matches the Rfam family "Bacterial small subunit ribosomal RNA", at positions 524 to 776 of the family's 1533-position model. The record is from RNAcentral.